ACAGGGAUUGCCCUAGUAACGGCGAGUGAAGCGGCAACAGCUCAAAUUUGAAAUCUGGCUCUUUUAGGGUCCGAGUUGUAAUUUGCAGAGGGCGCUUUGGCGUUGGCAGCGGUCCAAGUUCCUUGGAACAGGACGUCACAGAGGGUGAGAAUCCCGUACGUGGUCGCUGGCCUUCGCCGUGUAAAGCCCCUUCGACGAGUCGAGUUGUUUGGGAAUGCAGCUCUAAAUGGGAGGUAAAUUUCUUCUAAAGCUAAAUACUGGCCAGAGACCGAUAGCGCACAAGUAGAGUGAUCGAAAGAUGAAAAGCACUUUGGAAAGAGAGUCAAAUAGCACGUGAAAUUGUUGAAAGGGAAGCGCUUGCAGCCAGACUUGCCUGUAGUUGCUCAUCUGGGCUUUUGUCCAGUGCACUCUUCUACAGGCAGGCCAGCAUCAGUUUGGGCGGUUGGAUAAAGGUCUCUGUCACGUACCUCCCUUUGGGGAGGCCUUAUAGGGGAGACGACAUGCAACCAGCCUGGACUGAGGUCCGCGCAUCUGCUAGGAUGCUGGCGUAAUGGCUGUAAGCGGCCCGUCUUGAAACACGGACCAAGGAGUCUAACAUCUAUGCGAGUGUUUGGGUGUCAAGCCCGGACGCGUAAUGAAAGUGAACGGAGGUGGGAACCCUUUUAGGGUGCACCAUCGACCGAUCCUGAUGUCUUCGGAAGGAUUUGAGUAAGAGCAUGGCUGUUGGGACCCGAAAGAUGGUGAACUAUGCUUGAAUAGGGUGAAGCCAGAGGAAACUCUGGUGGAGGCUCGCAGCGGUUCUGACGUGCAAAUCGAUCGUCAAAUUUGGGCAUAGGGGCGAAAGACUAAUCGAACUAUCUAGUAGCUGGUUCCUGCCGAAG
RNAcentral lists this ribosomal RNA (881 nucleotides) under Plenodomus lingam (blackleg of rapeseed fungus). RNAcentral describes it as "partial large subunit ribosomal RNA". It matches the Rfam family "Eukaryotic large subunit ribosomal RNA", at positions 68 to 966 of the family's 3401-position model. The record is from RNAcentral. Lineage: Eukaryota; Fungi; Ascomycota; Dothideomycetes; Pleosporales; Leptosphaeriaceae.